Echinops telfairi (small Madagascar hedgehog) is the source of this 64-nucleotide small nuclear RNA. RefSeq annotates it as U7 small nuclear RNA. The record is from RefSeq and is a predicted model, not a curated record. NCBI's taxonomy places the organism in Eukaryota, Metazoa, Chordata, Mammalia, Afrosoricida, Tenrecidae. The transcript has a single exon.
UAGUGUUACCGCUCUUUUAGAAUUUGUCUAGCAGGUUUUCUGUUUUUUUCCCUGGAAAACCCCU